GUCCACGCCGUAAACGAUGGGUACUAGGUGUCUGGGGGAGCGACCCCCUGGGUGCCGGCGCUAACGCAUGAAGUACCCCGCCUGGGGAGUACGGCCGCAAGGCUGAAACUCAAAGGAAUUGACGGGGGCCCGCACAAGCGGUGGAGCAUGUGGUUUAAUUCGACGCAACGCGAAGAACCUUACCUAGGCUUGACAUGCUGGAGAAAGCUCGCAGAAACGUGAGCCCCUCUUCGGAGUUCCAGCACAGAUGCUGCAUGGCUGUCGU
RNAcentral lists this ribosomal RNA (265 nucleotides) under uncultured bacterium. RNAcentral describes it as "partial 16S ribosomal RNA". It matches the Rfam family "Bacterial small subunit ribosomal RNA", at positions 793 to 1055 of the family's 1533-position model. The record is from RNAcentral.